This 445-nucleotide ribosomal RNA is filed under the name uncultured bacterium. RNAcentral's name for it is "partial 16S ribosomal RNA". It matches the Rfam family "Bacterial small subunit ribosomal RNA", at positions 354 to 796 of the family's 1533-position model. The record is from RNAcentral.
GUAGGGAAUAUUGGUCAAUGGACGAAAGUCUGAACCAGCCAUUCCGCGUGCAGGAAGAAGAUUCUAUGGAUUGUAAACUGCUUUUAGCAGAGAAGAAACGCCUUCAUUGAUGAGGGUUUGACGGUAUCUGCGGAAUAAGCACCGGCUAACUCCGUGCCAGCAGCCGCGGUAAUACGGGGGGUGCAAGCGUUAUCCGGAAUCACUGGGUUUAAAGGGUGCGUAGGCGGGAAAUUAAGUCAGUGGUGAAAGUCUGUUGCUUAACGAUAGAAUUGCCGUUGAUACUGAUUUUCUUGAAUUGGGUUGAGGUUAGCGGAAUGUGACAUGUAGCGGUGAAAUGCAUAGAUAUGUCAUGGAACACCAAUUGCGAAGGCAGCUAGCUGGGCCUUGAUUGACGCUGAGGCACGAAAGCGUGGGUAGCGAACAGGAUUAGAAACCCCAGUAGUCC